Molecule: long non-coding RNA, 409 nt
Organism: Python bivittatus (Burmese python)
Lineage: Eukaryota; Metazoa; Chordata; Lepidosauria; Squamata; Pythonidae
Source: RefSeq, a predicted model, not a curated record
ACCCAUUAUUUUCACAGGGAAUCAUGAGUUUCAUUGGAUGCAAAAACCUGCACUAUGGGCAAAGUAAGGUAGCAUUUUAUAUCUGCUCAUUGGUCUUAAGAGAUAUCCAGGACUAAUAGUAGUUUGAUUCAGCCAGCAUGGAUGUUCUCCCCAUCUCUGUUGCUGUGCAAUUUCACCAUGCAAGGCAGACAUCAACCACCUCCAAUCAAUUCUGGGCGAGUCUAAGCUCUUUGCACAAUCAGGUGCUGAAGACUUUACCUGGUGGAACCUCUCUACAGGACAUGUUAUUAUCCUUUCAAAUGUUUAAUUUUAAAAAAUUUAGAUUUUAUUUUUGUACAAUUUUAAGUGUUGGAAUAAACCGAAAGAUGGGAUACAAAUUUAGUGAUUAAUGAAUUAAUAAAGAGUUUAU